GUAGUUGAUACAGGUGUGGGUGGUUUCAUUUGAGCUAACUAAUCCUUAGCGAGAAAUUGUCCCCAAAGUAUCUCUCUCUCCUACACUGUUGGCUUUUUUAGGGCCGACUCUCGCAGAAACGGUCACUUGGGA
This is a non-coding RNA of Sulfurovum sp. AS07-7, 132 nucleotides long. NCBI's taxonomy places the organism in Bacteria, Pseudomonadati, Campylobacterota, Epsilonproteobacteria, Campylobacterales, Sulfurovaceae. The record is from Rfam.